Molecule: long non-coding RNA, 1295 nt
Organism: Syngnathus acus (greater pipefish)
Lineage: Eukaryota; Metazoa; Chordata; Actinopteri; Syngnathiformes; Syngnathidae
Exons: 2
Source: RefSeq, a predicted model, not a curated record
AUACUGCUCAGAGAACUUGUUUACAAUAAGGUGCUGCUGUUUGGAUUAGCAACAACGAUCGUUAAACACACUGGUGCGCCCGCUGAGUGACGGCUACUAUUUGAGGAAGUGCAGAAUACUGUACUACGUGUGUGGUUGGGCAGCCUGUUUUAGCCAAGCAGCUGUUUUCCAGGUUGUAGUUCUCACACUUAUCCUGGAUCUCCGCUUUCUCAUGCAGCCUGUAAUCUCUCUCUGCACACACACGUGCACACACCUGCAAAUGCAUGCACACGCACGCGUAAAAAGAGGCAGGUGGUCUCCGUCAACCUGCUGAAUGGAGCAUCACUCAAUGAUGCCUCAAAAGGACCACUGUCUUCCUCAUCCACCAUUUGAUUUGGCUCUUCUCCUUUCAGCCUGCCUACACAACCUCUACUUGGUUUCAGCCUCACUUGCCAGCCCCCCCCCCCCCCCCCCCCCCCCCUCCACCGUGGAAGUAAAAGGUCCCCAAGUGGUCCCCGAUGAAGGAUGAGCCUGUUACAUGCGCCGCCACUAUUUCUUUUGGACUAAAUCUCGCAUGUGUCAUGCAUGUGCGCGCCUGGCCUCUUCCAUUCAUCAGUAGGCAUGCACGUAAAAGCUCAAUAACUGCGUUUUUUUUUUUGGGUCAGAGACGUCCUCCACUGGUGUCACAUUUGCAUUAGGCAAACAGCGCAAUCCAUCCUCCCCACACAAGGGAGAAGUGACAUCCUCUCUAGGUCAUUCCUCCAAAGAAGAACGACUGUGAAAACUGUGUAAAUGGCCUGAAUGAACAUCCAUCCACCCAUUUUCCAUAAGGCUUGUCACCACGGGGGUGGCGGUCAGGCCGGAGCCUAUCUCAGCAGUCAUCGGGCAGCAGGCGGCCUGAACGGGUUGCCAGCCAAUCGCAGGGCACACAGAGACAAACAACCAUUCGGAAUAACGAUACGAGUUAUGAGUGCUAAAACGGAGAGCAUGCAAGAUAGCUAGCAGGCUUGUUUUGGCUGAAUUAAAACAACCCAACCAAACAUUUUAUCAUUUUUUAUAGAAAUAGGAAAACUCUACGUAAACCUUUAUACUGUACUUGUCCUUGUUGACUAUUGCGGUAUCCAGUUUGAGGUCGGUGAGUUUAAGACUAGUAUUUUUCUUUUCAGACAGCAUUAUGUGUAUAAAUGUCAAGUGUCUUGCACAUGUAUUUAUUUUGGAAUAUUUCCACAUUGUCAAACGCCUGCAAGAACUACAUACAAAUUUGUGAACAAUUUCACUGUUGCACCUGAAUAAACACUAUGUUAUUUCUGGUCUAA